GGGACUCGCGAAUGAGCAGGAUGCACGGAGGCGCUGCUUCUCAAGUCCAACAAAGGACACAGCAGCAUUUGUUGGUCGGAUUUUAGCAGAUGGGAGAUGAGGAUUUGAGCCUGAUCUGAUUUCUCAUAUUUCUUUCAGGAGAAUGUUUCUAGUCUUCCGAGUAGAUUAUAUCAAACUUGCCCCAAUGCCUGCGCUAGAUCCGGCCACCUAGGCUGCAGAUGAGCAUGCAACUGCACGUUGUGAUUACCCCCAAUUUUUCUUGCUGCUGCCUUUUUAUUCGUUGGAAAAGGUACCUCGGUUCGGGAAGCUUUACAACCCACCGAACAUGAUCAGGAAGCUUUUGACACAAACUGUAGGAACUCCCCCAUCAUAGUUACCGUCUCUUAUCAAUUUGAACUACUGUAAUUACUAGUUUAUGGUAAAUUUGUCCUGUCAUUGGAUUGACCGGUUCCACAGCACAUGAUGAUGUAAGCUUGUGGUAACUUUCCAGAGUCGCAGUCCUUGAAACAUACAAGCGGCGUCAACAGUUGAUUUGGCGC
This is a long non-coding RNA of Setaria italica (foxtail millet), 539 nucleotides long. RefSeq lists it as uncharacterized. The transcript is spliced from 3 exons. Lineage: Eukaryota; Viridiplantae; Streptophyta; Magnoliopsida; Poales; Poaceae. The record is from RefSeq and is a predicted model, not a curated record.